AAGCAUGUGUGGGAUAGGCAUAAGGCUAUCCUAACUAUAAGAUACGGUGAGGGACUAAUGAAAGUAUUUAGAAAAUUGGGCAGACUAGAUGGGCCGAAUGGUUCUUAUCUGCCAUCACAUUCUAUGUUACAUUACUAUCUUUCUUUAUCAUCUCUCUGCCAUGCAAUGUUCUGACUCUUUUUUCUAUGAUGGCCAACAUGAUGUUUCUCA
This is a non-coding RNA of Pelobates cultripes (western spadefoot toad), 210 nucleotides long. Lineage: Eukaryota; Metazoa; Chordata; Amphibia; Anura; Pelobatidae. The record is from the annotation of a GenBank genome assembly.